RNAcentral lists this ribosomal RNA (120 nucleotides) under Prolemur simus (greater bamboo lemur). The record is from RNAcentral. Lineage: Eukaryota; Metazoa; Chordata; Mammalia; Primates; Lemuridae.
UCUGCAGCCAUACCACCUAAACAUGCCUUAUCUCAUCUGAUCUCAGAAGCUAAGCAGGGUCGGGCCUGGUUAGUACUUGAAUGAGAGAAUCAAAGAGAAAAGAAAAGCCAACAGCAAGAU